AACGAACGCUGGCGGCAGGCCUAACACAUGCAAGUCGAACGCCCCGCAAGGGGAGUGGCAGACGGGUGAGUAACACGUGGGAACAUGCCCUUCGGUACGGAAUAACUCAGGGAAACUUGUGCUAAUACCGUAUACGUCCGAGAGGAGAAAGAUUUAUCGCCGAAGGAUUGGCCCGCGUCUGAUUAGCUAGUUGGUGAGGUAAUGGCUCACCAAGGCGACGAUCAGUAGCUGGUCUGAGAGGAUGAUCAGCCACAUUGGGACUGAGACACGGCCCAAACUCCUACGGGAGGCAGCAGUGGGGAAUAUUGGACAAUGGGCGCAAGCCUGAUCCAGCCAUGCCGCGUGAGUGAUGAAGGCCUUAGGGUUGUAAAGCUCUUUUACCCGGGAAGAUAAUGACUGUACCGGGAGAAUAAGCCCCGGCUAACUUCGUG
RNAcentral lists this ribosomal RNA (431 nucleotides) under uncultured bacterium. RNAcentral describes it as "bacterial SSU rRNA". It matches the Rfam family "Bacterial small subunit ribosomal RNA", at positions 29 to 507 of the family's 1533-position model. The record is from RNAcentral.